AUCAGGCAGCAGCCGUCAGGGCGAGCCGACAUGGGCGCCCACCAGUACAUCCAGGAGCUGUGGAGGAAGCAGCAGUCGGGCGUGAUGCGCUUCCUGCUGCGGGUGCGCUGCUGGCAGUACCGCCAGCUCUCGGCGCUGCCCCGCGCCCCGCGCCCCACCCGGCCCGACAAGGCGCGCAGGCUGGGCUACAAGGCCAAGCAAGUCUAUGUCAUAUGCCGGAUCCAUGUGCACCGUGGGGGCCGCAAACGCCCGUUUCCUAAGGGUGCCACCUACGGCAAGCCUGUGCACCAUGGUGUCAACCAGCUCAAGUUUGCUCGAAGCCUGCAGUCGGUUGCGGAGGAGCGCGCUGGCCGCCACUGUGGGGCCCUGAGUCCUACUGGGUUGGUGAAGAUUCUACGUACAAAUUCUUUGAGGUUAUCCUCAUUGAUCCACUCCAUAAAGCUAUUAGAAGAAACCCUGACACCCAGCGGAUCACUAAAGCAGUCCACGAGCGCAGGGAGAUGCAGGGGCUGACGUCUGCAGGCAGAAAGAGCCGCGGCCUGGGCAAGGGCCACAAGUGCCACCGCACUGUCCGUGGCUCUCGCCGUGCAGCAUGGAGAAGGCGCAGUACUCUCCAGCUCCACCGCUACUGCUAA
Molecule: RNA transcript, 635 nt
Organism: Capra hircus (goat)
Lineage: Eukaryota; Metazoa; Chordata; Mammalia; Artiodactyla; Bovidae
Gene name: 60S ribosomal protein L15 pseudogene
Exons: 1
Source: RefSeq, a predicted model, not a curated record